ACGAAGGGGGCUAGCGUUGUUCGGAAUUACUGGGCGUAAAGCGCGCGCAGGCGGCUAUCCAAGUCAGUGGUGAAAGCCCGGAGCUCAACUCCAGAACUGCCUUUGAUACUGGCGAUCUCGAGUCCGGGAGAGGUGAGUGGAACUCCGAGUGUAGAGGUGAAAUUCGUAGAUAUUCGGAAGAACACCAGUGGCGAAGGCGGCUCACUGGCCCGGUACUGACGCUGAGGUGCGAAAGCGUGGGGAGCAAACAGGA
RNAcentral lists this ribosomal RNA (253 nucleotides) under uncultured prokaryote. RNAcentral's name for it is "partial 16S ribosomal RNA". It matches the Rfam family "Bacterial small subunit ribosomal RNA", at positions 525 to 777 of the family's 1533-position model. The record is from RNAcentral.